UGCGGGCGUGGUGGAACGGUAGACACAGACGACUUAAAAUCGUUAGCCUUCAGUGGUUUGCCGGUUCGAAUCCGGCCGCCCGCAUCC
This 87-nucleotide transfer RNA is filed under the name Roseomonas mucosa. RNAcentral's name for it is "tRNA-Leu". It matches the Rfam family "tRNA". Rfam says of the family: Transfer RNA (tRNA) molecules are approximately 80 nucleotides in length. Their secondary structure includes four short double-helical elements and three loops (D, anti-codon, and T loops). Lineage: Bacteria; Pseudomonadati; Pseudomonadota; Alphaproteobacteria; Acetobacterales; Roseomonadaceae. The record is from RNAcentral.